GACGAACGCUUGCGGCGUGCCUAAGAAAUGCAAGUCGAGCGGGGAGCAAUCCCAGCGGCGAACGGUCGCGUAACACGUAAGCAACCUGCCCAAAAGACCGGGACAACAGUUCGAAAGGACUGCUAAUACCGGAUGUGGCCGUUCUCUUGAGUGAGAGAGCGAUUAAAGCCUCGCAAGGGGGCUUUUGGAGGGGCUUGCGGCCUAUCAGCUAGUUGGCGGGGUAAGGGCCCACCAAGGCGACGACGGGUAGCUGGUCUGAGAGGAUGGUCAGCCGGAC
RNAcentral lists this ribosomal RNA (277 nucleotides) under uncultured bacterium. RNAcentral describes it as "partial 16S ribosomal RNA". It matches the Rfam family "Bacterial small subunit ribosomal RNA", at positions 28 to 313 of the family's 1533-position model. The record is from RNAcentral.